GAUGAAGAACGUAGCGAAAUGCGAUAAGUAAUGUGAAUUGCAGAAUUCAGUGAAUCAUCGAAUCUUUGAACGCACAUUGCGCCUGCUAGUAGUCUGGCGGGCAUGCCUGUCCGAGCGUCAUUUCAACCCUCAAGCCCCCGGGCUUGGUGUUGGGGAUCGGCGAGCCUCCGCGCCCGCCGUCCCCUAAAUCUAGUGGCGGUCUCGCUGUAGCUUCCUCUGCGUAGUAGCACACCUCGCACUGGGAAACAGCGCGGCCACGCCGUUAAACCCCCAACUUCUGAACGUUUGACCUCGGAUCAGGUAGGAAUACCCGCUGAACUUAAGCAUAUCAAUAAGGGAGGA
Molecule: unclassified non-coding RNA, 342 nt
Filed under: soil metagenome
Description: partial contains 5.8S ribosomal RNA, internal transcribed spacer 2, and large subunit ribosomal RNA
Rfam family: 5.8S ribosomal RNA (bases 1-120)
Source: RNAcentral